UAACUUAGUGGCGGACGGGUGAGUAACGCGUGAGAAUCUGCCUUCAGGACGGAGACAACAGUUGGAAACGACUGCUAAGCCCCGAUGAACCGAAAGGGAAAAUAUUUAUAGCCUGAAGAUGAGCUCGCGUCCGAUUAGCUAGUUGGGGGGGUAAAAGCCCACCAAGGCGACGAUCGGUAGCUGGUCUGAGAGGACGAUCAGCCACACUGGGACUGAGACACGGCCCAG
This 228-nucleotide ribosomal RNA is filed under the name uncultured bacterium. RNAcentral's name for it is "partial 16S ribosomal RNA". It matches the Rfam family "Bacterial small subunit ribosomal RNA", at positions 88 to 334 of the family's 1533-position model. The record is from RNAcentral.